Molecule: ribosomal RNA, 253 nt
Filed under: uncultured bacterium
Lineage: Bacteria
Description: partial 16S ribosomal RNA
Rfam family: Bacterial small subunit ribosomal RNA
Source: RNAcentral
UACGGAGGAUUCGAGCGUUAUCCGGAUUUAUUGGGUUUAAAGGGUGCGUAGGCGGACUUGUUAGUCAGCGGUGAAAUCUUACAGCUCAACUGUGAAAUUGCAGUUGAUACUGUUAGUCUUGAGUAUAGAUGAGGUGGGCGGAAUUUGUAGUGUAGCGGUGAAAUGCUUAGAUAUUACAAAGAACACCAAUUGCGAAGGCAGCUCACUGGGCUAUUACUGACGCUGAUGCACGAAAGCGUGGGUAUCAAACAGG